Molecule: ribosomal RNA, 526 nt
Filed under: Orthoptera sp. BAH_28365_C03
Lineage: Eukaryota; Metazoa; Arthropoda; Insecta; Orthoptera
Description: partial 16S ribosomal RNA
Rfam family: Bacterial large subunit ribosomal RNA
Source: RNAcentral
GGCUUCUUGAAUAAAUAGGAGGUCGGGCCUGCCCAAUGAUUAAUUUAAUGGCUGCGGUAUAUUGACCGUGCAAAGGUAGCAUAAUCAUUAGUCUUUUAAUUGGGGACUGGAAUGAAAGGUUUGACAAGAAAUUAACUGUCUUUUAUUAAAUUUUGAAUUUUACUUUUAAGUUAAAAGGCUUAAAUAGAAUUGAGGGACGAGAAGACCCUAUAGAAUUUAUAAUAAUAUUUUUUAUUAAUAUGCUAAAGAUCAAAAUUUUUUAAUAUAAAAUUUUAUUUUGUUGGGGUGACAAGAGAAUAAUUUAAGCUUCUCUAAAUUUAACUAUGAUGUUAGGAUUAAUUAUAGUAAGAUCCUGUAUUAUGGAUUUAAGAAAAAAUUACCUUAGGGAUAACAGCGUAAUUUUGUUUGAGAGUUCUAAUCAAUAAUAAAGUUUGCGACCUCGAUGUUGGAUUAAGAUAAUUUUUUGGUGCAGAAGCUAAAAAAAUGAGUCUGUUCGACUUUUAAUUUCUUACGUGAUCUGAGUUCA